AUAUUUACUAUUACAAAAUUUAAAGAUGUAUAGAAUCAAUGUGUUCAAUUUAAGAAAGACAAAUGUAUUUGUCCGUUUUAUAUCACAAUUUAAAAUGCAACGUAGUGAUUGCAUACCCAAAAUUAACAUACAGCAGUUAAGAGAUCCCAAAGCGUGUGCCAUUCGUGAUAAAGGGCUUGUUUUGGGAGUAUAUUACAACGAUCAUGUUAAAGAGGAAUCUGCCAUUCUUACGCCGAGCGCCCAGAAAUAUAAUGAAGCUUGCGACGGAAAGUUGUGGAGACAAUUAAAAUUAGCGCCCAUACCAAGACUCGGCGAAACUAGGAUAUUUUAUGAUUUAGAUCCAGAAUUUGCGUACGUCGCUGUAGCUGGACUUGGAACAGAGUGUUUCUCAUUUAACUCUUUAGAACAAUUGGAUGAAAGAAAAGAAGCAAUAAGAAUAGCAGCAGGAACAGGAGCCAAAGCAUUGAAUGCGUUGCGACCGACCUACAUACACGUGGAAUCUUUCGGAAACGCUGAAGCAGCAGCAGAAGGUGCGAACUUAGCUGUUUGGCAGUUUAGGGAAUACAAAAGUAUAUCGAACCAAAACGUAGUACCAAACGCAAAGUUUGUUUUACACGACAACUGCGAUGUGGAGGGCUGGAAUAUUGGCCAAAUAAAAGCAGAAUCGCAAAAUUUAGCAAGGUACUUGCAAGAAAUGCCAGCUAAUUAUUUAAAUCCGACUUCUUUUGCUAAAAUUGCAGUAGAUUUACUUUGUGAAUUGAAUAUAAACGUAGAAGUAAAGACGCAAGGGUGGGCAGCAAGUCAUGAGAUGGGAGGUUUUGUGGCUAUUGGAAGAUCCUCUAUCCAACCACCUCUUUAUGUUGAAAUAAGCUACUACGGUGCUAAUGAACUCCAACGACCUAUCGUAUUGAUAGGAAAAGGUGUAACAUUUGACAGUGGUAGCCUAGAUUUAAAAACUCCAAAAGAUUUACAGUAUAUGAAAGGAGAUAUGGCGGGUGCAGCUUGUGUUCUCGCUAUAAUAAGAGCAGUGUCAAUGUUAAAACUACCAGUUAACAUUAGGGGAAUUCUACCACUUUGCGAACUAAUGCCAAAUGGAAAGAGUCCGAAAUUUGGAGACUUAGUGAACAGCGGUAACGGUAAAUCUAUUCUCAUAAGACUACCAUCUCGUGAAGGGCGGUUGCUCGUUGCAGACUCUUUAGUGUACGCGAGAAAUUACUGGCCCAAAUUUAUCAUCGACAUAGGAACGAUGUCGAAAGAGUUAUUACAUACUCUCGAUGGUGCUGCAUGCGGUUGUUACACUAAUUCAGAAGAGUUGUUUUGUUAUCUGGAAUUAGCGAGUAGUCAAACGGGUGAUAGAAUUUGGCGGAUGCCGCUUUGGAAAUUCUACGAAGACCGUGUAAAAGACACUAGUUCGGCAGAUGUAGCGAAUACUGCUCAACAUAAAUAUGGCGACUCGCCCAACUGUGCGGCAUUCUUAAAACAGUUCGUAUGCGAUAGUCAAUGGAUACAUUUGGAUACCUACAAUGUAGCAUAUAGUAAAGGGCAAGAUUUCCCUUAUUUGGGAAGAGGAAUGACAGGUCGGCCUACUAGAACCAUUAUAGAGUUCCUCUUCCAAUUGAUUGCGGAUACUAAACUUUAGUUAACAAUUCUAAUCGAAUUUCCUGUCGUAAAUUGUAUGUGUAUAUCUAUUGUAAUUGUGUAAGAAACAAAUUUUCGAAAUAAAUCAACAAUUUUUGCUGUCAAU
Papilio polytes (common Mormon) is the source of this 1744-nucleotide RNA transcript. It is a transcript of the gene named cytosol aminopeptidase pseudogene, with no coding region annotated. The record is from RefSeq and is a predicted model, not a curated record. Lineage: Eukaryota; Metazoa; Arthropoda; Insecta; Lepidoptera; Papilionidae. The transcript has a single exon.